This 253-nucleotide ribosomal RNA is filed under the name uncultured bacterium. Its description in RNAcentral is "partial 16S ribosomal RNA". It matches the Rfam family "Bacterial small subunit ribosomal RNA", at positions 524 to 776 of the family's 1533-position model. The record is from RNAcentral.
UACGGAGGGUCCAAGCGUUGUCCGGAAUUACUGGGCGUAAAGAGCGUGUAGGCGGCCAAACAGGUCCGUUGUGAAAACUGGAGGCUUAACCUCCAGACGUCGACGGAAACCGUGUGGCUAGAGUCCGGAAGAGGAGAGUGGAAUUCCUGGUGUAGCGGUGAAAUGCGCAGAUAUCAGGAAGAACACCAAUGGCGAAGGCAGCUCUCUGGGACGGUACUGACGCUGAGACGCGAAAGCGUGGGGAGCGAACAGG